RNAcentral lists this ribosomal RNA (704 nucleotides) under uncultured Janthinobacterium sp. RNAcentral describes it as "bacterial SSU rRNA". It matches the Rfam family "Bacterial small subunit ribosomal RNA", at positions 788 to 1498 of the family's 1533-position model. Lineage: Bacteria; Pseudomonadati; Pseudomonadota; Betaproteobacteria; Burkholderiales; Oxalobacteraceae. The record is from RNAcentral.
UGGUAGUCCACGCCCUAAACGAUGUCUACUAGUUGUCGGGUCUUAAUUGACUUGGUAACGCAGCUAACGCGUGAAGUAGACCGCCUGGGGAGUACGGUCGCAAGAUUAAAACUCAAAGGAAUUGACGGGGACCCGCACAAGCGGUGGAUGAUGUGGAUUAAUUCGAUGCAACGCGAAAAACCUUACCUACCCUUGACAUGUCAGGAACCCUCGAGAGAUUGAGGGGUGCCCGAAAGGGAACCUGAACACAGGUGCUGCAUGGCUGUCGUCAGCUCGUGUCGUGAGAUGUUGGGUUAAGUCCCGCAACGAGCGCAACCCUUGUCAUUAGUUGCUACGAAAGGGCACUCUAAUGAGACUGCCGGUGACAAACCGGAGGAAGGUGGGGAUGACGUCAAGUCCUCAUGGCCCUUAUGGGUAGGGCUUCACACGUCAUACAAUGGUACAUACAGAGGGCCGCCAACCCGCGAGGGGGAGCUAAUCCCAGAAAGUGUAUCGUAGUCCGGAUCGCAGUCUGCAACUCGACUGCGUGAAGUUGGAAUCGCUAGUAAUCGCGGAUCAGCAUGCCGCGGUGAAUGCGUUCCCGGGUCUUGUACACACCGCCCGUCACACCAUGGAGCGGGUUUUACCAGAAGUAGGUAGCUUAACCGUAAGGGGGGCGCUUACCACGGUAGGAUUCGUGACUGGGGUGAAGUCGUAACAAGGUA